AUGGCGUGGACAAAGGGAUGCCACCUGGCGACAGGGAGCGAAUCCCAAACCACGUCUCAGUUCGGAUCGGAGUCUGCAACCCGACUCCGUGAAGCUGGAUUCGCUAGUAAUCGCGCAUCAGCCAUGGCGCGGUGAAUACGUUCCCGGGCCUUGUACACACCGCCCGUCAAGCCAUGGGAGCCGGGGGUACCUGAAGUCCGUAACCGAAAGGAUCGGCCUAGGGUAAAACUGGUGACUGGGGCUAAGUCGUAACAAGGUAAC
This 261-nucleotide ribosomal RNA is filed under the name uncultured bacterium. RNAcentral's name for it is "partial 16S ribosomal RNA". It matches the Rfam family "Bacterial small subunit ribosomal RNA", at positions 1230 to 1500 of the family's 1533-position model. The record is from RNAcentral.